Molecule: ribosomal RNA, 291 nt
Filed under: uncultured bacterium
Lineage: Bacteria
Description: partial 16S ribosomal RNA
Rfam family: Bacterial small subunit ribosomal RNA
Source: RNAcentral
AACGAACGCUGGCGGCAGGCUUAACACAUGCAAGUCGAGCGUGAAGCAUCCUUCGGGAUGUGGAAAGCGGCGGACGGGUGAGUAACGCGUGGGAACCUACCUUUCGGUUCGGAAUAACUCGGGGGAAACUCAGGCUAAUACCGGAUACGCCCCUCACGGGGGAAAGAUUUAUUGCCGAAAGAUGGGCCCGCGUUGGAUUAGGUAGUUGGUGGGGUAAAAGCCUACCAAGCCGACGAUCCAUAGCUGUUCUGAGAGGAAGAUCAGCCACACUGGGACUGAGACACGGCCCAG